CUGAAACUACGCCUACAUGAAGCUGGAGUUACUAGUAAUCGCAGAUCAGAAUGCUGCGGUGAAUGCGUUCCCGGGUCUUGUACACACCGCCCGUCACACCACGGAAGUUGGGGGCGCCCGAAGCCACUUAGCUAACCCUUUUGGGAAGCGAGUGUCGAAGGUGAAAUCAAUAACUGGGGUGAAGUCGUAACAAGGUAUC
This 199-nucleotide ribosomal RNA is filed under the name uncultured bacterium. RNAcentral describes it as "partial 16S ribosomal RNA". It matches the Rfam family "Bacterial small subunit ribosomal RNA", at positions 1305 to 1500 of the family's 1533-position model. The record is from RNAcentral.